AGCCAUGCAUGCCUCUGUACAAACUUAACUAAAGUGAAACCACGAAUGGCUCAUUAAAUCAGUUACUAUCUAUUGGAUAUGAAAUAAUCUACAUGGAUAACUGUGGUAAUUCUAGAGCUAAUACGUGCAACAUGCCUUGACCUCACGGGAUAGGUGCAUUUUAUUAGACCAAGAUCAACGGGACUUCUUUCGGGAGGUUCCUGCUUGUGAAUGGUGACUCUGGAUAACUACGCUGAUCGCAUGGCCUCUGUGCCGGCGAUGAGUCCUUUGAGUAACUGCCUUAUCAACUAGAUGGUAGGUUAGACGCCUACCAUGGUUGUAACGGGUAACGGGGAAUCAGGGUUCGAUUCCGGAGAGGGAGCCUGAGAAACGGCUACCACAUCCAAGGAAGGCAGCAGGCACGCAAAUUACCCACUCUUAGAACGAGGAGGUAGUGACGAAAAAUACCGGUACGGGACUCUUAGGAGGCCCCGUAAUCGGAAUGAGUACGAUCUAAAUCCUCUAACGAGGAUCUAUUGGAGGGCAAGUCUGGUGCCAGCAGCCGCGGUAAUUCCAGCUCCAAUAGCGUAUAUUAAAGUUGUUGCGGUUAAAAAGCUCGUAGUUGGAUCUCGACUCAUGUUAAGUGGUCCACCUCUCGGUGGUUACUGCUUGACUGAGUUACCUACGGAUUUGUCUCUUGAUUCUCUUAACCGAGUGUCUUGAGCGAUCUGUUCGUUUACUUUGAACAAAUUAGAGUGCUUAAAGCAGGCAUCUCGCCCGAAUAAUCUUGCAUGGAAUAAUAGAAUAGGACUUCGGUUCUAUUCUGUUGGUCUUCGGAUCCGAAGUAAUGAUUAAGAGGGACAGACGGGGGCAUUAGUAUUACGGCGCUAGAGGUGAAAUUCUUGGACCGUCGUAAGACUAACAACAGCGAAAGCAUUUGCCAAGAAUGUUUUCAUUAAUCAAGAACGAAAGUUAGAGGUUCGAAGGCGAUCAGAUACCGCCCUAGUUCUAACCAUAAACGAUGCUAACCAGCGAUCAGCCUGAGUACUUUCAAGGACUCGGCUGGGAACUUCUCGGGAAACCAAAGUUUUUGGGUUCCGGGGGAAGUAUGGUUGCAAAACUGAAACUUAAAGGAAUUGACGGAAGGGCACCACCAGGAGUGGAGCCUGCGGCUUAAUUUGACUCAACACGGGAAAACUCACCCGGCCCGGACACUAUGAGGAUUGACAGAUUGAGAGCUCUUUCAUGAUAUAGUGGGUGGUGGUGCAUGGCCGUUCUUAGUUGGUGGAUCGAUUUGUCUGGUUAAUUCCGAUAACGAACGAGACUCUAACCUAUUAAAUAGAACUACAUCUCCUUCGGGCGAUUGUAGAACUUCUUAGAGGGACAGGCGGCGGUUCAGCCGCACGAGAAAGAGCAAUAACAGGUCUGUGAUGCCCUUAGAUGUCCGGGGCCGCACGCGCGCUACACUGAAGUGUACAGCGUGCAUGUGUUUCCUAUUCCGAAAGGAGUGGGAAACCCUAGGAAUUCUCUUCGUACUUGGGACAGGGCAUUGUAACUAUACCCUUGAACGAGGAAUUCCCAGUAAGCGUGAGUCAUUACCUAGCGUUGAUUACGUCCCUGCCCUUUGUACACACCGCCCGUCGCUACUACCGAUUGAAUGAUUUAGUGAGGUCUUCGGAUUGAGUAGUGAGGCUUUCUUUGAAAGCCGCAUCUAUUUGAGAAGAUGACCAAACUUGAUCAUUUAGAGGAAGUAAAAGUCGUAACAAGGUUUCC
RNAcentral lists this ribosomal RNA (1752 nucleotides) under Mideopsis roztoczensis. RNAcentral describes it as "SSU rRNA". It matches the Rfam family "Eukaryotic small subunit ribosomal RNA". The record is from RNAcentral. Lineage: Eukaryota; Metazoa; Arthropoda; Arachnida; Trombidiformes; Mideopsidae.